GCCAUUUUGGAAUCCGUCAUUGGAUCGCCACACUCGAAGUUGAUAUCUCUACGUGUUAAGAGAAAGUGUCGUGAAAAAAAGAAGUAGACCUUCGCGCUUAAAUUUGCUAAGUGGAGAAGAAGUAACGACAACCGGGGAUUUAAUUCUUAGUGUUUUUAACAGAAAAUGAGCCAUAAUAACAGGCCACCACCAAGAAUUGACGGAAUGAUUUCACUGAAGGUGGACAAUUUGACAUAUCGCACGACGCCGGAAGAUUUGCGGCGUGUGUUCGAAAGAUGCGGCGAAGUCGGAGAUAUUUACAUACCGCGUGACCGUUUCACGCGUGAGAGCCGCGGAUUCGCGUUCGUAAGAUUCUAUGAUAAACGCGAUGCCGAGGACGCACUUGAAGCCAUGGACGGUCGCGUCCUUGAUGGAAGGGAGCUUCGCGUCCAGAUGGCCCGAUAUGGCCGUCCCACGUCGCCGCAUAGACGAAGCGGUUCAGGACGUGGUGGCGGUGGAGGACGACGACGCAGGUCACGUUCACCGCGUCGUCGCUCCAGAAGUCCGCGAAGGCGAAAUGCCUCGUUCUCGCCAAGGUCGCGUUCUCGAUCAUUCGGAAGUAGAUCGCCUACGAGAAGAGGAAAAUUCUCAAGAUCCCGCAGCCCCGUGGCCAGGAAGUCAUUCAGUCGGAGCAACAGCAGAAACGGACGGAGCGUGUCACGCAGUCCUAGUCGAAGUAGAAGUUAAGAUGCGAUGCCGGGAACCUGACGAAGGCAUGAUGUUGCUAUCUGCAAACAUAGCGAGGACAGUCCCAAGACUGGCUCUGUAUGAAAGGCCGUUCCUGUUUGGCUGAUGUGAAUUGUGUAUUGCACGCUGUUCGCUCCACCCUCCACUUUUUGUUCUAUCUUGUAACGGUUGUGUAUUAAGCGCAGACUGCAGAGGGCAGAAUUGGCAGUGGCAGUCGCAAGUAAUAUGAGCUGUUAGAAUGCUGUUAACAUGCUGUUUAGAAGGCGGUGAUUAAGAGCUGAUCAAGCGCCGUUGAGCUGCUGCUGUGUAACGAUUUUCAAGUACAAAUGCGCGUUUGUAUCGAGUCCUAUCAAAUUGUGAAUCCAUUUCGAAACGUUGCAACGUGAUGCUGGUCCAUACAAAAAAA
This 1132-nucleotide unclassified non-coding RNA is filed under the name Hermetia illucens (black soldier fly). RNAcentral's name for it is "serine/arginine-rich splicing factor 2, transcript variant X1". Lineage: Eukaryota; Metazoa; Arthropoda; Insecta; Diptera; Stratiomyidae. The record is from RNAcentral.